UUUCUUUUCCUUCUCCACUACAUUUUAUGUGAGAGAUCAACUGUGGUUGUUAGCAAAGCCCUCUAAUUUAACAAUCAAACAUUUAAUCAGUAGUACAUAAAGCAGUUGCUAUGAUAUUUGGCUGCAAAUAGCUGCAACCAAGUCAACAGUUAGGUCUUUAGCGACGAAAGUCACUGAGCAUUAAUAAAUAAUUUUUUUUUUUUUUAAAGUUAUGAUUCGCUGCUAAAAGGUCUGUCUAAGUAAUCCAAAUCCUUGCGUCGGAAAUUGGUAAUCUACGAUGCAUCUUUUGUCGGUAAAACAAUACAAGGACAGGACUUUUGACUGGUGGGUCGGUCUGGAGUAUACUAUUAUAACUUCGGACACGAAAUGUUUUGUGGACAAUGUGACAUUACUAUCUUAUGUUGCCAUACAUCAUAGCAAACAAUAUUUAAACCAUAGUUUUAGUAGCUCAGUUUCGUCGACAUUCCCUUGAUUUUCAUUUUGUUCCACUUUCGAGAUGGUAAGAUUUUAUUAGCAUUAAUAUUCUAUGUCAACAUUUUACCAUCCCAUGGUGAGAGGAGUUGAGAAUAUACGUAUCUGGUGUUUUAAUUUUAGCUUAAUUCUUGCUUAAAUCGCUGCAUGUAUAGGCAAGUAAAUUUAUCCAUACGCCAAGUAAUCAUAUAUCUCAAGGUAAGACUACGAAGAUAUCAAGGAAUCAAAUCCUAGGAACUUUCGUUCACUAUAUUGAGAAGAUCUAGGUAUCAUCAGCAAUGUUUGAUUUUUGUACAGUUCUUUUCACUAUUUAUAGGCUUUUCCAGUGUUAUAUGAAACCUGCUCUUUCUCGUUCAUUUUCCUUUACAUAUUAAGCACAUACCAUAACCUUUACAAUAAUCAACCCUUUAAUAUAAUCAGCUAACACCAUGGGUGUAAGGCUAACCACAAUCAAGAACAAACUGAGUGUGGAGAUGGAGCUGAGUGUAUUUGCAGCCCCAGCAAGACCUGACCACUUUCGACAGAUAAUAAGAAUCAAGCCAGGAGGAAAGGCGAAUUUAUUAGUCAAGACACUAGGUGAAGAAAGUAGAAUUUCAGGAAGGCUUUUGAUAAUUAUGGUUUAUGUUGAUGGAGUAUACAGUGGUGUUACUUUGUUGCCUGCCUACUUGGCUAGCUACUCGGAAGUCAUUUGUGACAGAGGAGAAGAUGGACUUUUGAAUCUUCGAGGGAUCAAAGCCACAAUGUUCAACACUUGCAAACUCCUGUUUAUGCAUCAUCUCUUGCUUGCCACGAAUUGUUUUGGUGGUCCUGCUGAGGAGAUCAUAUAAGUCCAGGAAUUGCACGCAGUCCUUGGUGGUCAAUAGAAGCUCAAACAGCCGUUUACUCUUCAAAAAAGCUUUGGAGCUUUAAAUAAAACAAAUAAGUCGUCUAUUUUUUUUUUCUCCUGCUUCAGAAUAAGAGCUCCAUUUUCAUGUAAUCCGAAGAGAAUUAUAUACUCGAGCUAUUCUCAACACUUGUAGAUAAUAUGAUCUUAUUCAAUGAAGUUGGUGACAUCUGUUGUAUGUUACUAAGUGAUUAAAAUGUCAAAAAACCAAAAUCCCAGUUGGGUUCAUCAUCAAAUAAAUUGAAAUGGGAUUUGAAUUGGAUCUUAUUCGACUUUUAACUUUCUGUUUAGAAUAGAAUAUGCUUUAGAAUAAUCUGAAUUUAUUAGUCAAUUUGUGAUGGUAUUAUAAUUCGCUUCCAGAUGGCAACAUUUGUAAGAUAUCAUAUAUCAACAAAUUAAAGAGUUAAGAGCAGUAAGAAAAAAAGAAAGAGAGACGAAGAUGAAGACAACAAAGGUCCCAAGGCCGCCUAAAGAAUACUAAAGUAAAUACAUGAAAAAAGAAAAUAAAUAUAUGAAAGCGCCAGCUUCACCAAAAGAAUAAAUAAAUAAAUACAUGAAAGGGGCUCCUUUGCCUCCUUAGGCUGCUUGUAUUAACAAGAAAGCAAGCAAAUGGCGAAUAAUUCUUGAAGAGAAGGUGCCUUCAAGUGAGAAUCGGAGAGCUUGAACCUGUCAGAAUUCGGUGCAGUUUUAGCCCAACUCCUCUGCUCCUCAGCUGCUGAAAAUCCUCUGUCACAAAUGGCUUCCAGUUUUCCUUAUAUUUCUAUGUUUGAUUGCAAAGAAUAACUAUAUAACAGGUGAGUUUACCUUGAAGUUGUUCUGGGUCUGGUUAGAUGUAAGGAUGGAACUGGAGCCUUUGGACAGAAGAUUAAAGUGCAGAUAGGAAGAAUAGAGGUGUUUGUGCGUGAAACUAGACUGAGUUCCGUAGGAUCAAGUUCUCUUGUUUUCUCAUUCUCACUAAUAUUCUUUUCUUUAUUUUUCUGAAACUAUCUCGGUAGAAAUCUCAUUACAAUCACAUGAUCCAAGGGAGAAGAAGAAAAGCAAUAAAAUGGUGGUGCAGCUUCUUACCAGGAGUGCUGGAAUAUUGUGGAAGGCCUAAAAUUGAUAUGCUAUGAGUUCCAGUGAUGAUCUUCUUCCUAUUUUCCUUUUGUGGAAGACUCCUGCAAUGUAGAACCAAAGAAAUAAUUAGAUUAUCCAAAACCAUGGAUUGGACUAAUGCUUUGACUGUUUCCUCCCGUUAAGACCUGAACUUCGGGUCUUUCCUGGAUUAUGUCUUUAUGAGCUUUAUAUAAUCUGUAGUCUUUAUGCAGUGUGUACAUUUUAUUCGUAAA
Long non-coding RNA from Ricinus communis (castor bean), 2682 nucleotides. RefSeq lists it as uncharacterized. The transcript is spliced from 3 exons. NCBI's taxonomy places the organism in Eukaryota, Viridiplantae, Streptophyta, Magnoliopsida, Malpighiales, Euphorbiaceae. The record is from RefSeq and is a predicted model, not a curated record.